Molecule: ribosomal RNA, 2920 nt
Filed under: Bacillus cereus
Lineage: Bacteria; Bacillati; Bacillota; Bacilli; Caryophanales; Bacillaceae
Description: bacterial LSU rRNA
Rfam family: Bacterial large subunit ribosomal RNA
Source: RNAcentral
UUAAGUUAGAAAGGGCGCACGGUGGAUGCCUUGACACUAGGAGUCGAUGAAGGACGGGACUAACGCCGAUAUGCUUCGGGGAGCUGUAAGUAAGCUUUGAUCCGAAGAUUUCCGAAUGGGGAAACCCACCAUACGUAAUGGUAUGGUAUCCUUAUCUGAAUACAUAGGGUAAGGAAGACAGACCCAGGGAACUGAAACAUCUAAGUACCUGGAGGAAGAGAAAGCAAAUGCGAUUUCCUGAGUAGCGGCGAGCGAAACGGAACAUAGCCCAAACCAAGAGGCUUGCCUCUUGGGGUUGUAGGACAUUCUAUACGGAGUUACAAAGGAACGAGGUAGACGAAGCGACCUGGAAAGGUCCGUCGUAGAGGGUAACAACCCCGUAGUCGAAACUUCGUUCUCUCUUGAAUGUAUCCUGAGUACGGCGGAACACGUGAAAUUCCGUCGGAAUCUGGGAGGACCAUCUCCCAAGGCUAAAUACUCCCUAGUGAUCGAUAGUGAACCAGUACCGUGAGGGAAAGGUGAAAAGCACCCCGGAAGGGGAGUGAAAGAGAUCCUGAAACCGUGUGCCUACAAAUAGUCAGAGCCCGUUAACGGGUGAUGGCGUGCCUUUUGUAGAAUGAACCGGCGAGUUACGAUCCCGUGCGAGGUUAAGCUGAAGAGGCGGAGCCGCAGCGAAAGCGAGUCUGAAUAGGGCGUUUAGUACGUGGUCGUAGACCCGAAACCAGGUGAUCUACCCAUGUCCAGGGUGAAGUUCAGGUAACACUGAAUGGAGGCCCGAACCCACGCACGUUGAAAAGUGCGGGGAUGAGGUGUGGGUAGCGGAGAAAUUCCAAUCGAACCUGGAGAUAGCUGGUUCUCCCCGAAAUAGCUUUAGGGCUAGCCUUAAGUGUAAGAGUCUUGGAGGUAGAGCACUGAUUGGACUAGGGGUCCUCAUCGGAUUACCGAAUUCAGUCAAACUCCGAAUGCCAAUGACUUAUCCUUAGGAGUCAGACUGCGAGUGAUAAGAUCCGUAGUCAAAAGGGAAACAGCCCAGACCGCCAGCUAAGGUCCCAAAGUGUGUAUUAAGUGGAAAAGGAUGUGGAGUUGCUUAGACAACUAGGAUGUUGGCUUAGAAGCAGCCACCAUUUAAAGAGUGCGUAAUAGCUCACUAGUCGAGUGACUCUGCGCCGAAAAUGUACCGGGGCUAAAUACACCACCGAAGCUGCGGAUUGAUACCAAUGGUAUCAGUGGUAGGGGAGCGUUCUAAGGACAGUGAAGUCAGACCGUAAGGACUGGUGGAGUGCUUAGAAGUGAGAAUGCCGGUAUGAGUAGCGAAAGACGGGUGAGAAUCCCGUCCACCGAAUGCCUAAGGUUUCCUGAGGAAGGCUCGUCCGCUCAGGGUUAGUCAGGACCUAAGCCGAGGCCGACAGGCGUAGGCGAUGGACAACAGGUUGAUAUUCCUGUACCACCUCUUUAUCGUUUGAGCAAUGGAGGGACGCAGAAGGAUAGAAGAAGCGUGCGAUUGGUUGUGCACGUCCAAGCAGUUAGGCUGAUAAGUAGGCAAAUCCGCUUAUCGUAAAGGCUGAGCUGUGAUGGGGAAGCUCCUUAUGGAGCGAAGUCUUUGAUUCCCCGCUGCCAAGAAAAGCUUCUAGCGAGAUAAAAGGUGCCUGUACCGCAAACCGACACAGGUAGGCGAGGAGAGAAUCCUAAGGUGUGCGAGAGAACUCUGGUUAAGGAACUCGGCAAAAUGACCCCGUAACUUCGGGAGAAGGGGUGCUUUCUUAACGGAAAGCCGCAGUGAAUAGGCCCAAGCGACUGUUUAGCAAAAACACAGCUCUCUGCGAAGCCGUAAGGCGAAGUAUAGGGGGUGACACCUGCCCGGUGCUGGAAGGUUAAGGAGAGGGGUUAGCGUAAGCGAAGCUCUGAACUGAAGCCCCAGUAAACGGCGGCCGUAACUAUAACGGUCCUAAGGUAGCGAAAUUCCUUGUCGGGUAAGUUCCGACCCGCACGAAAGGUGUAACGAUUUGGGCACUGUCUCAACCAGAGACUCGGUGAAAUUAUAGUACCUGUGAAGAUGCAGGUUACCCGCGACAGGACGGAAAGACCCCGUGGAGCUUUACUGUAGCCUGAUAUUGAAUUUUGGUACAGUUUGUACAGGAUAGGCGGGAGCCAUUGAAACCGGAGCGCUAGCUUCGGUGGAGGCGCUGGUGGGAUACCGCCCUGACUGUAUUGAAAUUCUAACCUACGGGUCUUAUCGACCCGGGAGACAGUGUCAGGUGGGCAGUUUGACUGGGGCGGUCGCCUCCUAAAGUGUAACGGAGGCGCCCAAAGGUUCCCUCAGAAUGGUUGGAAAUCAUUCGUAGAGUGCAAAGGCAUAAGGGAGCUUGACUGCGAGACCUACAAGUCGAGCAGGGACGAAAGUCGGGCUUAGUGAUCCGGUGGUUCCGCAUGGAAGGGCCAUCGCUCAACGGAUAAAAGCUACCCCGGGGAUAACAGGCUUAUCUCCCCCAAGAGUCCACAUCGACGGGGAGGUUUGGCACCUCGAUGUCGGCUCAUCGCAUCCUGGGGCUGUAGUCGGUCCCAAGGGUUGGGCUGUUCGCCCAUUAAAGCGGUACGCGAGCUGGGUUCAGAACGUCGUGAGACAGUUCGGUCCCUAUCCGUCGUGGGCGUAGGAAAUUUGAGAGGAGCUGUCCUUAGUACGAGAGGACCGGGAUGGACGCACCGCUGGUGUACCAGUUGUUCUGCCAAGGGCAUAGCUGGGUAGCUAUGUGCGGAAGGGAUAAGUGCUGAAAGCAUCUAAGCAUGAAGCCCCCCUCAAGAUGAGAUUUCCCAUAGCGUAAGCUAGUAAGAUCCCUGAAAGAUGAUCAGGUUGAUAGGUUCGAGGUGGAAGCAUGGUGACAUGUGGAGCUGACGAAUACUAAUAGAUCGAGGACUUAACCAU